GACGAGCCACCCAAACGUUAUUCGGAAUUACUGGGCUUAAAGGGUGCGUAGGCGGUGCAGCAAGUCGGGAGUGAAAUACCUCAGCUUAACUGAGGAACUGCUUUCGAUACUGCUGUGCUUGAGUGAGACAGAGGUAAGCGGAACUUAGGGUGGAGCGGUGAAAUGCGUUGAUAUCCUAAGGAACACCGGUGGCGAAGGCGGCUUACUGGGUCUCUACUGACGCUGAGGCACGAAAGCCAGGGUAGCAAACGGGAUUAGAUACCCCCGUAGUCC
This 273-nucleotide ribosomal RNA is filed under the name uncultured bacterium. Its description in RNAcentral is "partial 16S ribosomal RNA". It matches the Rfam family "Bacterial small subunit ribosomal RNA", at positions 524 to 796 of the family's 1533-position model. The record is from RNAcentral.